This 73-nucleotide transfer RNA is filed under the name Denitrovibrio acetiphilus DSM 12809. RNAcentral's name for it is "tRNA-Ala (GGC) (tRNA-Ala-GGC-1-1)". It matches the Rfam family "tRNA". Rfam says of the family: Transfer RNA (tRNA) molecules are approximately 80 nucleotides in length. Their secondary structure includes four short double-helical elements and three loops (D, anti-codon, and T loops). The record is from Rfam by way of RNAcentral. RNAcentral also lists the same sequence under 2 other names. Lineage: Bacteria; Pseudomonadati; Deferribacterota; Deferribacteres; Deferribacterales; Geovibrionaceae.
GGGGGUAUAGCUCAGCUGGGAGAGCGCAACACUGGCAGUGUUGAGGUCAGCGGUUCGAUCCCGCUUACCUCCA